RNAcentral lists this transfer RNA (74 nucleotides) under Zea mays. It matches the Rfam family "tRNA". From Rfam's summary of the family: Transfer RNA (tRNA) molecules are approximately 80 nucleotides in length. Their secondary structure includes four short double-helical elements and three loops (D, anti-codon, and T loops). Lineage: Eukaryota; Viridiplantae; Streptophyta; Magnoliopsida; Poales; Poaceae. The record is from Rfam by way of RNAcentral.
GCAUCCAUGGUUGAAUGGUUAAAGCACCCAGCUCAUAAGUGGUAGAUUUGUGGAUUCAAUUCCUGCUAGAUGCA